UACGUAGGGUGCGAGCGUUAAUCGGAAUUACUGGGCGUAAAGCGCGCGCAGGCGGCGGUGCUGGCCCGGCGUGAAAGCCCCCGGCUCAACCGGGGAGGGUCGUCGGGGACCGCACCGCUUGAGGGCGGUAGGGGCUGGUGGAAUGCCUGGUGUAGUGGUGAAAUGCGUAGAGAUCAGGCGGAACACCCGUGGCGAAGGCGGCCAGCUGGGCCGUCCCUGACGCUGAGGCGCGAAGGCGUGGGGAGCGAACAGG
Molecule: ribosomal RNA, 253 nt
Filed under: uncultured bacterium
Lineage: Bacteria
Description: partial 16S ribosomal RNA
Rfam family: Bacterial small subunit ribosomal RNA
Source: RNAcentral